UACUAUGUCCCAGGAACUGUGCCAGAUGC
RNAcentral lists this non-coding RNA (29 nucleotides) under Homo sapiens (human). The record is from RNAcentral. Lineage: Eukaryota; Metazoa; Chordata; Mammalia; Primates; Hominidae.